AAUCAACGCUGGCGGCGUGCCUAACACAUGCAAGUCGAACGAGAAAGUGGAGCAAUCCAUGAGUAAAGUGGCGCACGGGUGAGUAACACGUGACUAACCUACCCUUGAGUGGGGGAUAACCUAGGGAAACCUGGGCGUAAUACCGCAUAAUACCUACGGGUCAAAGGAGCAAUUCGCUUUAGGAGGGGGUCGCGGCAGAUUAGUUAGUUGGCGGGGUAAGUGGCCCACCAAGACGAUGAUCGUAUCCGGCCUGAGAGGGCGCACGGACACACUGGAACUGAAACACGGUCCAGACUCCUACGGGA
This 305-nucleotide ribosomal RNA is filed under the name uncultured bacterium. RNAcentral's name for it is "bacterial SSU rRNA". It matches the Rfam family "Bacterial small subunit ribosomal RNA", at positions 32 to 346 of the family's 1533-position model. The record is from RNAcentral.